GACUCUCCUACUAUGAUUAAAGGCGACACUUCCGGUUUUCUUCCUACCGGACUGGAGCCAUUUCAAAAUGACGGCUGCGUGAAAUCUUCUCCUGAAGGGCCUGAGGAGUUGACCUUCAAGUUUCUAGUCACCCUGAAGACAUUGAUUAACUGGUUCAGGUGAAUCUCUCCACUCUUUUGAGUCUCUCGUGAAACAUUAUGGAUCCUCUGUUUGACAGUAGAUUGAGCUCCUCCAUCAUCAGAUCCUGAGGAACACUGAUCUUCUUUCCCAGGUUCAGACAUGCUGAUUUACAUGCACAGAUAUAUUGAAACGCAUUUUAUAUUAAUCACUGAACUACAAUCCAUUAUGAAACAACAAAGACAUUUAAUGGUUUGCUUUAAUACUGUGCAAUUCAGCAAAAGUGCCUCCAAGCAUGAGCACAACAUGUGCGGCUGAUUAAAUCAUUAAAUUUGACACUUGUCGGUCUGGGUGUAACCUCAGCCUGCUGUUUGUUCUGUAAUGUUUAAGAGGGUUCAGAUCUUUCCCGAUCAGGCGUGGAUGAGUCAUGAUCUCAUGGAGUAAAGCAUUUAGUCUCCGGCUGUCAUAUUACAUUACAAAUACCCUUACUGAUUUGGGAACCGAGUCAAAGCAGUUGAGACAUGCCUUAGAAGAAAGUGUAAAUUUGUCUCCGUUUUCACUUUACAGACUGUUUUGAUUCUUUCCCCACAUGUCAUAGUGCCGUCUCUUUCAAGCUACUUUCAUUGAGUCAGGCAUAUCCAUUGAGAUGAGAUUGAGGCAUGCUGUUUGAAGAAACUCAGCUUUUUAUUUCUUGCUUCUGAUGUAUCUUACCUCCAUCUGUGUCCGAGCUCAGCUCCUGUUGAUCUUUCUCCUUAGAUACGUCCGUGUAUGGCACAGGCAUGAUGAUAUUAAUAGUGUCCAGUCUUCAAUAAAAUCAGGCCAGAGGAAUAAUUUAUUUUGAGAUUGUUCCCCAAUCCCCACUAAAAUGAAUCUGAUUUUUAUCCUUUCAUUGUGAUAUUCAUAUGUACUCCUUUGAUCUCAAAUCAUGCCUGAAAACUCUUGUUUAAACUGAGUCGCACAGAUCACGGAACAAACGAAUCCUCUCAUUAUAGCAAAACUUACCAAUUUUAAAAUCCUGUUUUUGCUCUGAUGCCAGUCAAUGAUGUAUCAUGUCCCGAGGUAGAUACGCUUGUGUGUCAGGUACGCUGUGGACCUUCUUUUUUGCCUUGGUUAGAUCACUGUCUUAUUAUAGCAAGUGAAGUUUGUAUCCAAUAGGCAUGGAUUAGCACGGUAGAGCUCCAGCAUCCACACUAAUGAAAAUUUGAUCCACCGGCCAUAACACUAAGCAUUCAGACCAGUGACCGGGGAGGAAGGCAAGACUCUGAGUCUUGCCCAAGUCUGUCUGCCUCUGGGAUUCAACACCUUUUGCUGAAGGGAUGCCAUGGGCCUGAGAAGGGAUAUCAAUUUUUGGCGAUUGCUAACAAGUGGCUAAAUUGGAACUACAGAGGUUGUUGGCGACAGCAGCAUGCCGAACAAGUAAAAUACCCAUUCAUCCAUUUUCCCAGCCUCGUAAUUGAGCUUUUGUUAUACUAUUCUAAUCCAAACUUUCAGGGGAAAUUUAUUGUAUUUUUUUUAGUUGAGACUCAAAAAGUUGGAAGCAUAGGCCUAAUGGUUGUGUUUGUUGAAGUCAUAUGACCGUGGUGUAGUUAGUUUAGUCUACGCUUAGCUAUUUAUUUCUGAUCAUUGUAUUUAGCUUCAAAGUUAUCCUAGUAAAGAUUAAAAGAUAGUAGAAGAUUAUCCUGGUAAAAAUCAAAAUUUUGUUUGUCACAAAUCUAGUUUUCUGCAAUAAUCCAAAAAGCCAAUGGAGAAAUGCUGUUGUUUUAUGGGGAUGUUAACUUCCGAGUUGGCCUACAAACAUAAUCACUGCAGCACUUUGUUGUAUGUGCUAUCAAAUAUGCAAGUUGAAUUGAAUCAUAUCAGUCCAGCCUAAUUCCAUACAAAAAGUUUUAGAGACACUGGAUCUCAUUCAUUCAUUAAUUAUGUGUAUGUCUACAUACACACAACUUUGUUGAGUAUGAAUGUUUUCACAAACACAUCUUGAAUCAUUAUAACUUACAUAACCAAAGCCACAUGUAUAUAAAAAAAAAAAAAAAUCACAUGCUCUUAUCUCCUUAUAAAAGUGCAGAUAUACUUUUAAACAUCUGGAUGAUAUGAGGUACACAGAACAAAAGCAUAAACAAAGUUAUUUGUAUUUGAACUGACUUUGAGGAUGUGGAUGGAGCUUGAAGGUCUAGCCACACCCAACAUAACUCCACCAAUCAGGUCUACAGAGGUGGACCUGGACUAGCAAAACAAAGCAACUAGUAAUAUUGCGUCUAAAAUGUAAGUUAUUCAAUAUUAACUUUCCUGUUUAUUAAUGUGCUGUACAAAAGCAAUUAUCACACACACAAUCGUAUUGUUGAUUCCAGCAUCACCAUGGCUGUGAUUAUUACAUGUUAUCUCUUGCUUGUAUGUUAUUGCUUGAAUAUCUAUUUUAGAUCUUCCAAAAACACUGGAAAACGUGGAUAAAACCAACAUGACUACUCCAUGAUCUUGUUUAAAUUAGAAUUCAAGACAUAAUCUUAAGCUACUAGAAAAUGUAGUCACAAUUUCAUUUCACAUAAUCAUACUCAUUAUUCCCACACAGGUUAUUCAUAUAGAAACUACCAAAUCCAGU
Pimephales promelas (fathead minnow) is the source of this 2713-nucleotide non-coding RNA. The record is from RefSeq and is a predicted model, not a curated record. Lineage: Eukaryota; Metazoa; Chordata; Actinopteri; Cypriniformes; Leuciscidae.